GGUUAAGCGACUAAGCGUACACGGUGGAUGCCCUGGCAGUCAGAGGCGAUGAAGGACGUGCUAAUCUGCGAAAAGCGCCGGCGAGGUGAUAUGAACCCUUGACCCGGCGAUGUCCGAAUGGGGAAACCCAGUGUGAUUCGUCACACUAUCGUUAACUGAAUACAUAGGUUAACGAGGCGAACCGGGGGAACUGAAACAUCUAAGUACCCCGAGGAAAAGAAAUCAACCGAGAUUCCCCCAGUAGCGGCGAGCGAACGGGGAGCAGCCCGGAGUCUGAAUCAGCUUGUGUGUUAGUGGAACGGUCUGGAAAGUCCGACGGUACAGGGUGAUAGUCCCGUACACGAAAGCACACUUGCUGUGAACUCGAAGAGUAGGGCGGGACACGUGGUAUCCUGUCUGAAUAUGGGGGGACCAUCCUCCAAGGCUAAAUACUCCUGACUGACCGAUAGUGAACCAGUACCGUGAGGGAAAGGCGAAAAGAACCCCGGCGAGGGGAGUGAAAAAGAACCUGAAACCGUGUACGUACAAGCAGUGGGAGCACCUUCGUGGUGUGACUGCGUACCUUUUGUAUAAUGGGUCAGCGACUUAUAUUCUGUAGCAAGGUUAACCGUAUAGGGGAGCCGAAGGGAAACCGAGUCUUAACUGGGCGUUAAGUUGCAGGGUAUAGACCCGAAACCCGGUGAUCUAGCCAUGGGCAGGUUGAAGGUUGGGUAACACUAACUGGAGGACCGAACCGACUAAUGUUGAAAAAUUAGCGGAUGACCUGUGGCUGGGGGUGAAAGGCCAAUCAAACCGGGAGAUAGCUGGUUCUCCCCGAAAGCUAUUUAGGUAGCGCCUCGUGAACUCAUCUUCGGGGGUAGAGCACUGUUUCGGCUAGGGGGCCAUCCCGGCUUACCAACCCGAUGCAAACUACGAAUACCGAAGAAUGUUAUCACGGGAGACACACGGCGGGUGCUAACGUCCGUCGUGAAGAGGGAAACAACCCAGACCGCCAGCUAAGGUCCCAAAGUCAUGGUUAAGUGGGAAACGAUGUGGGAAGGCACAGACAGCCAGGAUGUUGGCUUAGAAGCAGCCAUCAUUUAAAGAAAGCGUAAUAGCUCACUGGUCGAGUCGGCCUGCGCGGAAGAUGUAACGGGGCUAAACCAUGCACCGAAGCUGCGGCAGCGACACUAUGUGUUGUUGGGUAGGGGAGCGUUCUGUAAGCCGUUGAAGGUGUGCUGUGAGGCAUGCUGGAGGUAUCAGAAGUGCGAAUGCUGACAUAAGUAACGAUAAAGCGGGUGAAAAGCCCGCUCGCCGGAAGACCAAGGGUUCCUGUCCAACGUUAAUCGGGGCAGGGUGAGUCGACCCCUAAGGCGAGGCCGAAAGGCGUAGUCGAUGGGAAACAGGUUAAUAUUCCUGUACUUGGUGUUACUGCGAAGGGGGGACGGAGAAGGCUAUGUCAGCCGGGCGACGGUUGUCCCGGUUUAAGCAUGUAGGCGGAGGUUCCAGGUAAAUCCGGUACCUUAUUAACGCUGAGGUGUGAUGACGAGGCACUACGGUGCUGAAGUGAUAAAUGCCCUGCUUCCAGGAAAAGCCUCUAAGCAUCAGGUAACACGAAAUCGUACCCCAAACCGACACAGGUGGUCAGGUAGAGAAUACCAAGGCGCUUGAGAGAACUCGGGUGAAGGAACUAGGCAAAAUGGUGCCGUAACUUCGGGAGAAGGCACGCUGAUGUGUAGGUGAAGCCCCUGCGGGCGGAGCUGAAAUCAGUCGAAGAUACCAGCUGGCUGCAACUGUUUAUUAAAAACACAGCACUGUGCAAACACGAAAGUGGACGUAUACGGUGUGACGCCUGCCCGGUGCCGGAAGGUUAAUUGAUGGGGUUAGCUGUAAGGCGAAGCUCUUGAUCGAAGCCCCGGUAAACGGCGGCCGUAACUAUAACGGUCCUAAGGUAGCGAAAUUCCUUGUCGGGUAAGUUCCGACCUGCACGAAUGGCGUAAUGAUGGCCAGGCUGUCUCCACCCGAGACUCAGUGAAAUUGAACUCGCUGUGAAGAUGCAGUGUACCCGCGGCAAGACGGAAAGACCCCGUGAACCUUUACUAUAGCUUGACACUGAACACUGGUCCUUGAUGUGUAGGAUAGGUGGGAGGCUUUGAAGCGUGGACGCCAGUCUGCGUGGAGCCGCCCUUGAAAUACCACCCUUUAAUGGCUGGUGUUCUAACGUAGACCCGUAAUCCGGGUUGCGGACAGUGUCUGGUGGGUAGUUUGACUGGGGCGGUCUCCUCCCAAAGAGUAACGGAGGAGCACGAAGGUUGGCUAAUCCUGGUCGGACAUCAGGAGGUUAGUGCAAUGGCAUAAGCCAGCUUGACUGCGAGCGUGACGGCGCGAGCAGGUGCGAAAGCAGGUCAUAGUGAUCCGGUGGUUCUGAAUGGAAGGGCCAUCGCUCAACGGAUAAAAGGUACUCCGGGGAUAACAGGCUGAUACCGCCCAAGAGUUCAUAUCGACGGCGGUGUUUGGCACCUCGAUGUCGGCUCAUCACAUCCUGGGGCUGAAGUAGGUCCCAAGGGUAUGGCUGUUCGCCAUUUAAAGUGGUACGCGAGCUGGGUUUAGAACGUCGUGAGACAGUUCGGUCCCUAUCUGCCGUGGGCGCUGGAGAAUUGAGGGGGGCUGCUCCUAGUACGAGAGGACCGGAGUGGACGCAUCACUGGUGUUCGGGUUGUCAUGCCAAUGGCACUGCCCGGUAGCUAAAUGCGGAAGAGAUAAGUGCUGAAAGCAUCUAAGCACGAAACUUGCCCCGAGAUGAGUUCUCCCUGAGACUUUAAGUCUCCUGAAGGAACGUUAAAGACUAUGACGUUGAUAGGUCGGGUGUGUAAGCGCAGCGAUGCGUUGAGCUAACCGAUACUAAUGAACCGUGAGGCUUAACCUU
RNAcentral lists this ribosomal RNA (2905 nucleotides) under Enterobacter hormaechei. RNAcentral describes it as "23S ribosomal RNA". It matches the Rfam family "Bacterial large subunit ribosomal RNA". The record is from RNAcentral. Lineage: Bacteria; Pseudomonadati; Pseudomonadota; Gammaproteobacteria; Enterobacterales; Enterobacteriaceae. RNAcentral also lists the same sequence under 1 other name.